UCAGACGAUGCGUCAUGCAUAUCAAUAAGCGGAGGAAAAGAAACUAACAAGGAUUCCCUCAGUAACGGCGAGUGAAGCGGGAAGAGCUCAAAUUUGAAAUCUUGAAAGGUCACCUUUCACGAAUUGUAGUUUAAAGAAGUGUUUUCUGUUACGAUCGUAAUAUAAGUUCUUUGGAAUAGGACAUCACAGAGGGUGAGAAUCCCGUCUAUGAUUGCGAUUUGUAGCUUUGUGAUACACUUUCAAAGAGUCGGGUUGUUUGGGAAUGCAGCCCAAAACGGGAGGUAAAUUUCUUCUAAGGCUAAAUAUUGGCGAGAGACCGAUAGCGAACAAGUACCGUGAGGGAGAGAUGAAAAGAACUUUGAAAAGAGAGUUAAACAGUACGUGAAAUUGUCAAAAGGGAAGCGUUUGACACCAGUGUUGUUUUCUCGAAAAUCAAUUAAAAAUGGCUCGAUUUUGUAUUGCUGAGACCUUAAAAGCUCACUGUACAUUUUUCGUGUCUUUUUUAAUGCACUUUUCGUUUAACAAGUCAACAUCAGUUUCUUUUGUUGUAAAAGGGUCAUUGGAAGGUGGCUUUCUUUUCGGAGAAAGUGUUUAUAGCCUUUGGCCUCUGCAAUCGGAGAGACUGAGGUCUGCAGCGUAGACUCUUCGGGGUUAGAUACAUUUGUGCUAAGUUAUAGCUUUUUAUAGACAACUUGUUGACUAUAAUUAGUCUUGUAGCUUACUCGCUUAUGCUAUUUUACCUACGCUUAGGAUGUUGACUGAUAUGUAGUCGUA
RNAcentral lists this ribosomal RNA (774 nucleotides) under uncultured Neocallimastigales. Its description in RNAcentral is "partial large subunit ribosomal RNA". It matches the Rfam family "Eukaryotic large subunit ribosomal RNA", at positions 18 to 644 of the family's 3401-position model. Lineage: Eukaryota; Fungi; Neocallimastigomycota; Neocallimastigomycetes; Neocallimastigales. The record is from RNAcentral.